This 592-nucleotide ribosomal RNA is filed under the name Curvularia lunata. RNAcentral describes it as "eukaryotic LSU rRNA". It matches the Rfam family "Eukaryotic large subunit ribosomal RNA", at positions 66 to 671 of the family's 3401-position model. Lineage: Eukaryota; Fungi; Ascomycota; Dothideomycetes; Pleosporales; Pleosporaceae. The record is from RNAcentral.
CAACAGGGAAUUGCCCUAGUACGGCGAGUGAAGCGGCAACAGCUCAAAUUUGAAAUCUGGCUCUUUCAGAGUCCGAGUUGUAAUUUGCAGAGGGCGCUUUGGCUUUGGCAGCGGUCCAAGUUCCUUGGAACAGGACGUCACAGAGGGUGAGAAUCCCGUACGUGGUCGCUAGCUAUUGCCGUGUAAAGCCCCUUCGACGAGUCGAGUUGUUUGGGAAUGCAGCUCUAAAUGGGAGGUAAAUUUCUUCUAAAGCUAAAUAUUGGCCAGAGACCGAUAGCGCACAAGUAGAGUGAUCGAAAGAUGAAAAGCACUUUGGAAAGAGAGUCAAACAGCACGUGAAAUUGUUGAAAGGGAAGCGCUUGCAGCCAGACUUGCUUGCAGUUGCUCAUCCGGGCUUUUGCCCGGUGCACUCUUCUGCAGGCAGGCCAGCAUCAGUUUGGGCGGUGGGAUAAAGGUCUCUGACACGUUCCUUCCUUCGGGUUGGCCAUAUAGGGGAGACGUCAUACCACCAGCCUGGACUGAGGUCCGCGCAUCUGCUAGGAUGCUGGCGUAAUGGCUGUAAGCGGCCCGUCUUGNAAAACACNGACCAAAA